GCUGAGUGCAGCCAGUGGCGUGAUGAUGGACUAAUUUGUCACUUCUACUCUGAGGCUGCUAAAAGUAGGUCCGGAUCCUUUUUCCCAUCAAUGAAGGUGUCCAAGAACUUAGAGAAGCUGAAGCCUGAAUCCCUGAGUCACGUUGGAGGACAACCAUCUGGCUCAAAACACUACUUUUAUUUUUACAAUUUCAUAUGUAUAUACCAUGUAUUCUAAUCAUAUUCAGCCUCCAUGAGCCUCUUCUCAUCCCUCUUCUUUGCCCCUCUGAGCAUAAGAUGCUACCCACUCCACCCCACCAGCAAUCAUUAACAGUCAUUGUCCCCUCAGGAAGAGCAGGGCCUCAUGAAACCCCUCAUGAGGAAGGGUUGGAGGACCCACCCUUGUGCGGAUCUCCAUCGGCCGUGUCGUACCUGGACGGCAAAGAUGCUCCCUCAUCACCUGACACUUAUAUUCUUUCUGCUCCCUCUUCUCCUGUAUUCCUUGAGCCUUGAGGGGUUGGGUUAGGUGUCCCAGGUAAAGCUAUGCACUCAUUCGUCACUCACACCCAGCACUGUGACCAGAUGCAAGGACUGUAUUCGUAGGUGCCUUCUGCAAACAGGAACCUCUCUAUUUCAUCAGAUCACAUUCUGACAGGAGUGCUGAGCCGUUCAAACGGAGUGAGGUAGAGCAGACCUGCAAGAUCACUUGAACCCAGCUAGGCAAUAGUAAGGCCUCCAUCUCAAAAAGAAAAGGAAGAAAAAAAGAAAAAAAAAAUCUUUGAUUUGUAACUACAGUAGAGCUAAGCAACCCCAAUAUUCAAGCUAAUGGAAAAUUUCCAGAAGAAGAAACAUUGAUUGAUUAUGCAGGAAACAAAACGGAUGUCCCUGGGUACCCAGGAGAGGAUGGAAUCUACUGACCAAGGAGCAGACUCAGCUCUGCCAAGUAUAGCCUUCUCUGAGUGGUGGGGCAGACCUGCAUGAUUGCUCUGUGAGUCUAACCCUGUGUUACAGGUUUCUGGUCCUUGACAUUUCCUAGGUUCAUGCUGGAGUGAGAGAAAACUAGUGUGGCUGGCCAGGAAUUGAGGGGAGAUGCUUGGGCUGGGAAGCAGGAAAAGAUCUUGGAAAUGGGAGGCAAAGCCUAUCAGGAAAGGAGCUGCAGAAAAGGCAACAGAGCAAGUGUGGGGCUCAAUUUUGUCAGCACCCCUAAUUCUAAGAUGUCUUGCAUGUUCAAAGGAGCAGAGCAAAGGAGCCUAGAGGACAGUGGUGACACAAUGGGGACACAGUAACCCAGAACACAGGCAUAGCAGGCAAGAUACAGACAGAUCACAGCUCCUUAACUGCUUCUGGGUUUAUAGUCCUGAGAAAAUCAUUUUGUUUAAUGCCCUCGAUUUCGGUAUGAGUAUGCAGAGAGUAGCAGUGCUGGAUCCCAGCUUGACAGGCAGGUUGCCAUUCAGAUUAAUGAAACAUGAUAUGCUCAACUUCUUGGAAGGCUGGUGCUAUAGAAACAGUAGGUGUUAUUAUUCCCAUAAAAGGAAAGAGCAGCCCUCUCUGGUGAAAUGGCUCUUAGCACAGAAUCCUCAUUAAAAGCUGUGGUGCAAUUUUCCAAGUUGCAUUAGUGAGACUUGGCAAUGGAUG
RNAcentral lists this long non-coding RNA (1613 nucleotides) under Mus musculus (house mouse). RNAcentral's name for it is "long non-coding RNA chr4:32507341-32508954". The record is from RNAcentral. Lineage: Eukaryota; Metazoa; Chordata; Mammalia; Rodentia; Muridae.